This 73-nucleotide transfer RNA is filed under the name Cordylochernes scorpioides. RNAcentral describes it as "tRNA-Thr". It matches the Rfam family "tRNA". From Rfam's summary of the family: Transfer RNA (tRNA) molecules are approximately 80 nucleotides in length. Their secondary structure includes four short double-helical elements and three loops (D, anti-codon, and T loops). Further hydrogen bonds mediate the characteristic L-shaped molecular structure. tRNAs have two regions of fundamental functional importance: the anti-codon, which is responsible for specific mRNA codon recognition, and the 3' end, to which the tRNAs corresponding amino acid is attached (by aminoacyl-tRNA synthetases). tRNAs cope with the degeneracy of the genetic code in two manners: having more than one tRNA (with a specific anti-codon) for a particular amino acid; and 'wobble' base-pairing, i.e. permitting non-standard base-pairing at the 3rd anti-codon position. The record is from RNAcentral. Lineage: Eukaryota; Metazoa; Arthropoda; Arachnida; Pseudoscorpiones; Chernetidae.
UCCAGGGUAGCCUAGUGGACAUGGCAUCUGCCCAGUAAGCAGAACACUGUGGGUUUGAUUCCCAUCCCUGGAC